This 595-nucleotide ribosomal RNA is filed under the name uncultured bacterium. RNAcentral describes it as "bacterial SSU rRNA". It matches the Rfam family "Bacterial small subunit ribosomal RNA", at positions 338 to 944 of the family's 1533-position model. The record is from RNAcentral.
CCUACGGGAGGCAGCAGUGGGGAAUUUUCCGCAAUGGGCGAAAGCCUGACGGAGCAACGCCGCGUGAGGGAUGAAGGCCUCUGGGCUGUAAACCUCUUUUAUCAAGGAAGAAGAUCUGACGGUACUUGAUGAAUAAGCCACGGCUAAUUCCGUGCCAGCAGCCGCGGUAAUACGGGAGUGGCAAGCGUUAUCCGGAAUUAUUGGGCGUAAAGCGUCCGCAGGCGGUCUUGUAAGUCUGUCGUUAAAGCGUGGAGCUCAACUCCAUUUCGGCGGUGGAAACUACAAGACUAGAGUGUGGUAGGGGCAGAGGGAAUUCCCGGUGUAGCGGUGAAAUGCGUAGAUAUCGGGAAGAACACCAGUGGCGAAGGCGCUCUGCUGGGCCAUAACUGACGCUCAUGGACGAAAGCUAGGGGAGCGAAAGGGAUUAGAUACCCCUGUAGUCCUAGCCGUAAACGAUGAACACUAGGUGUCGGGGGAAUCGACCCCCUCGGUGUCGUAGCUAACGCGUUAAGUGUUCCGCCUGGGGAGUACGCACGCAAGUGUGAAACUCAAAGAGUAGUAGCGNGUGAGNGUUCGACGAGACGACAGGAGGAGG